AACGAACGCUGGCGGCGUGCUUAACACAUGCAAGUCGAACGGAAAGGCCCUGCUUGCAGGGUCCUCGAGUGGCGAACGGGUGAGUAACACGUGGGUGAUCUGCCCUGCACUUCGGGAUAAGCCUGGGCAACUGGGUCUAAUACCGGAUAGGAGCCAUUUUUAGUGUGAUGGUUGGAAAGUUUUUUCGGUGUAGGAUGAGCUCGCGGCCUAUCAGCUUGUUGGUGGGGUAAUGGCCUACCAAGGCGGCGACGGGUAGCCGGCCUGAGAGGGUGGACGGCCACAUUGGGACUGAGAGACGGCCCAGACUCCUACGGGAGGCAGCAGUGGGGAAUAUUGAACAAGGGGCGCAAGCCGGAUGCAGCGACGCCGCGUGGGGGAUGACGGCCUUCGGGUUGUAAACUCCUUUCGCUAGGGACGAAGCUUUUUGUGACGGUACCUAGAGAAGAAGCACCGGCUAACUACGUG
Molecule: ribosomal RNA, 465 nt
Filed under: uncultured bacterium
Lineage: Bacteria
Description: partial 16S ribosomal RNA
Rfam family: Bacterial small subunit ribosomal RNA
Source: RNAcentral